This 85-nucleotide transfer RNA is filed under the name Felis catus (domestic cat). It matches the Rfam family "tRNA". Rfam says of the family: Transfer RNA (tRNA) molecules are approximately 80 nucleotides in length. Their secondary structure includes four short double-helical elements and three loops (D, anti-codon, and T loops). The record is from Rfam by way of RNAcentral. Lineage: Eukaryota; Metazoa; Chordata; Mammalia; Carnivora; Felidae.
GCCUGGGUGGUUCAGUUGGUUGAGUGUCUGACUUCGGCUCAGGACAUGAUCUUACGGUUCGUGAGUUCGAGUCCCACUUCAAGCU